GUUAUUUUUAAGAAGAAAGGAAAGCUUUGUGAAAGACCAUGGUGAGUGAAUUUUGCUGUAUCUGCUUCUGUUUUCUCCAUUGUUCACAAGAAAACCGCUUGUCUGAUCUCCAAAGUAAUGGUUGUUUUAUGCUCUAAAAGAGCUCAAGCCCCCAAAUAAUGAGGCUGAUGUAACACUGGGAAUAGUCAAAGGGGAUAAAUCCCUGAUGUAAGAAAACACAGUUUGCUUUGUAUGUUCUUUAAGAGUUGAACACUGAAGUGAUCCUGGAGGUAUUUGCUGCACUGCUGAGAGCAAGAUGAACAAAUACUUCAGAAAAUGGCCCCUGACCCACUGGGCUCCUCACCCUCUUGCAGAAGCCCUGCCAGGAAUUGGUUUCAGCAGCAAAUGCCAGAAGAUGGAUCAAGCUCAUCCCUUUCACCCCACUUAGCUGAGCUACAGAUGUUAUUCAUAUUCAUCACAGUGUCCAGCUCUUUGACAAAAGUACAGAGUUCCUUGGCUCAAUAAAAAUCAUAUGUCAUCGAGU
RNAcentral lists this long non-coding RNA (523 nucleotides) under Homo sapiens (human). RNAcentral's name for it is "HSALNT0022093". Lineage: Eukaryota; Metazoa; Chordata; Mammalia; Primates; Hominidae. The record is from RNAcentral.